Molecule: small RNA, 735 nt
Filed under: uncultured fungus
Lineage: Eukaryota; Fungi
Description: SSU rRNA
Rfam family: Eukaryotic small subunit ribosomal RNA
Source: RNAcentral
AUCAACUUUCGAUGGUAGGAUAGAGGCCUACCAUGGUGGUAACGGGUAACGGGGUGUUAGGGCACGACACCGGAGAGGGAGCCUGAGAAACGGCUACCACAUCCAAGGAUGGCAGCAGGCGCGCAAAUUACCCAAUCCCGACACGGGGAGGUAGUGACAAUAAAUAACAAUACGGGGUUCUUUUGGAUUUCGUAAUUGGAAUGAGUACAAUUUAAAUCUCUUAACGAGGAACAAUUGGAGGGCAAGUCUGGUGCCAGCAGCCGCGGUAAUUCCAGCUCCAAUAGCGUAUAUUAAAGUUGUUGCAGUUAAAAAGCUCGUAGUUGAAUUUCGGGGUUAGUAGGUUGGUCGUGCCUUUGGUAUGCACUGGCUUCACUGAUUCCUCCUUCUUGAAGAACUGUAAUGCCAUUAAUUUGGUGUUGCAGGGACACAGGACUGUUACUUUGAAAAAAUUAGAGUGUUUAAAGCAGGCUAACGCCUGAAUACAUUAGCAUGGAAUAAUGAAAUAGGACGUUUGAUCCUAUUUUGUUGGUUUCUAGGAUUGACGUAAUGAUUAAUAGGGAUAGUUGGGGGCAUUAGUAUUCAAUUGUCAGAGGUGAAAUCCUUGGAUUUAUUGAAGACUGACUACUGCGAAAGCAUUUGCCAAGGAUGUUUUCAUUAAUCAAGAACGAAAGUUAGGGGAUCGAAGACGAUCAGAUACCGUCGUAGUCUUAACCAUAAACUAUGCCGACUAGGGAU